Molecule: ribosomal RNA, 163 nt
Filed under: uncultured Craterellus
Lineage: Eukaryota; Fungi; Basidiomycota; Agaricomycetes; Cantharellales; Hydnaceae
Description: partial 28S ribosomal RNA
Source: RNAcentral
AUGACCUCAAAUCAGAUGAGACUACCCGCUGAACUUAAGCAUAUCGCUCAGUUUGAAAUCUGGCAGUCAUUCACUGUCCGAGUGUAAAUUGAAGAGAGUGUCAUCCACACUGGACCAUGUCUAAAUUGUAAUGAUCCACAGUCCUUUGAUGGAGUAUCAGAGA